GGGGGUGUAUCUUAGUGGAAAAGUGCAUGUUUAGAAUGUUUGAAGCCCUGGUUCAAUCUCCAGUCUCCUCCA
RNAcentral lists this transfer RNA (72 nucleotides) under Cricetulus griseus (Chinese hamster). It matches the Rfam family "tRNA". Rfam says of the family: Transfer RNA (tRNA) molecules are approximately 80 nucleotides in length. Lineage: Eukaryota; Metazoa; Chordata; Mammalia; Rodentia; Cricetidae. The record is from Rfam by way of RNAcentral.